AUUUUACUCUUUAAAGUGCAUAAUUCAGUAACUUUUUAGCAUAUUCAUAUAUACGUGCAAUGAUCACCACUAUUUAAUUUUAGAAUACUUUUGGAGAGAAAGUGGAGCAAGAUGACCAAACAGAAGACUCCACUGAUUAUCCUCCCCAAAGGAACACCAAAUUGAACAACUAACCACACAAGAAAAAGGACCUUCAUGAGAACCAAAAAUUAGGUUUUGUUUUUGAGACGGAGUCCUGCUCUGUUGCCCAGGCUGGAGUGCAGUGGCACGAUCUCAGCUCACUGUAUGUAGCCUCUGCUUCCUGGGUUCAAGCAAUUCUCCUGCCCCAGCCUCCCGAGUAGCUGGGACUACAGACAUGCACCACCAUGCCCAGGUAAUUUUUUUUGUAUUUUUAGUAGAGAU
This 402-nucleotide long non-coding RNA is filed under the name Homo sapiens (human). RNAcentral describes it as "HSALNT0264033". Lineage: Eukaryota; Metazoa; Chordata; Mammalia; Primates; Hominidae. The record is from RNAcentral.